RNAcentral lists this ribosomal RNA (194 nucleotides) under uncultured Pseudomonas sp. RNAcentral describes it as "partial 16S ribosomal RNA". It matches the Rfam family "Bacterial small subunit ribosomal RNA", at positions 338 to 524 of the family's 1533-position model. The record is from RNAcentral. Lineage: Bacteria; Pseudomonadati; Pseudomonadota; Gammaproteobacteria; Pseudomonadales; Pseudomonadaceae.
CCUACGGGAGGCAGCAGUGGGGAAUAUUGGACAAUGGGCGAAAGCCUGAUCCAGCCAUGCCGCGUGUGUGAAGAAGGUCUUCGGAUUGUAAAGCACUUUAAGUUGGGAGGAAGGGCAUUAACCUAAUACGUUAGUGUUUUGACGUUACCAACAGAAUAAGCACCGGCUAACUUCGUGCCAGCAGCCGCAGUAAU